GAUGAACGCUGGCGGCGUGCCUAAUACAUGCAAGUCGAGCGAACGGACGAGAAGCUUGCUUCUCUGAUGUUAGCGGCGGACGGGUGAGUAACACGUGGAUAACCUACCUAUAAGACUGGGAUAACUUCGGGAAACCGGAGCUAAUACCGGAUAAUAUUUUGAACCGCAUGGUUCAAAAGUGAAAGACGGUCUUGCUGUCACUUAUAGAUGGAUCCGCGCUGCAUUAGCUAGUUGGUAAGGGAACGGCUUACCAAGGCAACGAUGCAUAGCCGACCUGAGAGGGUGAUCGGCCACACUGGAACUGGGACACGGUCCAGACUCCUACGGGAGGCAGCAGUAGGGAAUCUUCCGCAAUGGGCGAAAGCCUGACGGAGCAACGCCGCGUGAGUGAUGAAGGUCUUCGGAUCGUAAAACUCUGUUAUUAGGGAAGAACAUAUGUGUAAGUAACUGUGCACAUCUUGACGGUACCUAAUCAGAAAGCCACGGCUAACUACGUG
This 497-nucleotide ribosomal RNA is filed under the name uncultured bacterium. Its description in RNAcentral is "partial 16S ribosomal RNA". It matches the Rfam family "Bacterial small subunit ribosomal RNA", at positions 28 to 507 of the family's 1533-position model. The record is from RNAcentral.